AUUGAACGCUGGCGGCAGGCCUAACACAUGCCAGUCGAACGGUAACAGGAAGCAGCUUGCUGCUUCGCUGACGAGUGGCGGACGGGUGAGUAAUGUCUGGGAAACUGCCUGAUGGAGGGGGAUAACUACUGGAAACGGUAGCUAAUACCGCAUAACGUCGCAAGACCAAAGAGGGGGACCUUAGGGCCUCUUGCCAUCGGAUGUGCCCAGAUGGGAUUAGCUAGUAGGUGGGGUAACGGCUCACCUAGGCGACGAUCCCUAGCUGGACUGAGAGGAUGACCAGCCACACUGGAACUGAGACACGGUCCAGACUCCUACGGGAGGCAGCAGUGGGGAAUAUUGCACAAUGGGCGCAAGCCUGAUGCAGCCAUGCCGCGUGUAUGAAGAAGGCCUUCGGGUUGUAAAGUACUUUCAGCGGGGAGGAAGGGAGUAAAGUUAAUACCUUUGCUCAUUGACGUUACCCGCAGAAGAAGCACCGGCUAACUCCGUG
This 490-nucleotide ribosomal RNA is filed under the name uncultured bacterium. RNAcentral's name for it is "partial 16S ribosomal RNA". It matches the Rfam family "Bacterial small subunit ribosomal RNA", at positions 30 to 507 of the family's 1533-position model. The record is from RNAcentral.